Molecule: ribosomal RNA, 253 nt
Filed under: uncultured bacterium
Lineage: Bacteria
Description: partial 16S ribosomal RNA
Rfam family: Bacterial small subunit ribosomal RNA
Source: RNAcentral
UACGUAGGCAGCAAGCGUUGUUCGGAAUUACUGGGCGUAAAGAGUGUGUAGGCGGUCUGCUAAGUUUGGUGUGAAAUCUCCCGGCUCAACUGGGAGGGUGCGCCGAAAACUGGCAGGCUUGAGUGCCGGAGAGGAUAGCGGAAUCCCCGGUGUAGCGGUGAAAUGCGCAGAUAUCGGGAGGAACACCUGCGGUGUAGACGGCUAUCUGGACGGCCACUGACGCUGAGACACGAAAGCGUGGGUAGCAAACAGG